UACGUAGGGGGCAAGCGUUGUCCGGAAUCAUUGGGCGUAAAGCGCGUGUAGGCGGCCCGAUAAGUCCGCUGUGAAAGUCCAGGGCUCAACCCUGGAAUGCCGGUGGAUACUGUCGGGCUUGAGUCCGGAAGAGGCGAGUGGAAUUCCCGGUGUAGUGGUGAAAUGCGCAGAUAUCAGGAGGAACACCGAUUGCGAAGGCAGCUCGCUGGGACGUAACUGACGCUGAGACGCGAAAGCGUGGGGAGCAAACAGG
Molecule: ribosomal RNA, 253 nt
Filed under: uncultured bacterium
Lineage: Bacteria
Description: partial 16S ribosomal RNA
Rfam family: Bacterial small subunit ribosomal RNA
Source: RNAcentral